GCAUCCGUAGCUCAGCUGGAUAGAGUACUCGGCUACNNAGCGGUCGGAGGUUCGAAUCCUCCCGGAUGCACCA
RNAcentral lists this transfer RNA (73 nucleotides) under Klebsiella pneumoniae. Its description in RNAcentral is "tRNA-OTHER". It matches the Rfam family "tRNA". Rfam says of the family: Transfer RNA (tRNA) molecules are approximately 80 nucleotides in length. Their secondary structure includes four short double-helical elements and three loops (D, anti-codon, and T loops). The record is from RNAcentral. Lineage: Bacteria; Pseudomonadati; Pseudomonadota; Gammaproteobacteria; Enterobacterales; Enterobacteriaceae.